RNAcentral lists this ribosomal RNA (446 nucleotides) under uncultured bacterium. RNAcentral's name for it is "partial 16S ribosomal RNA". It matches the Rfam family "Bacterial small subunit ribosomal RNA", at positions 329 to 792 of the family's 1533-position model. The record is from RNAcentral.
GUCCAGACUCCUACGGGAGUCAGCAGUGGGGAAUAUUGCACAAUGGGGGAAACCCUGAUGCAGCGACGCCGCGUGAAGGAAGAAGUAUUUCGGUAUGUAAACUUCUAUCAGCAGGGAAGAAAAUGACGGUACCUGAAGAAGAAGCCCCGGCUAACUACGUGCCAGCAGCCGCGGUAAUACGUAGGGGGCAAGCGUUAUCCGGAUUUACUGGGUGUAAAGGGGGCGCAGACGGCGAUGCAAGCCAGGAGUGAAAGCCCGGGGCCCAACCCCGGGACUGCUCUUGGAACUGCGUGGCUAGAGUGCGGGAGGGGCAGGCGGAAUUCCUGGUGUAGCGGUGAAAUGCGUAGAUAUCAGGAGGAACACCGGUGGCGAAGGCGGCCUGCUGGACUGCAACUGACGUUGAGGCCCGAAAGCGUGGGGAGCAAACAGGAUUAGAUACCCUCGUA